AAAUUGAAGAGUUUGAUCAUGGCUCAGAUUGAACGCUGGCGGCAGGCCUAACACAUGCAAGUCGAGCGGAAACGACACUAACAAUCCUUCGGGUGCGUUAAUGGGCGUCGAGCGGCGGACGGGUGAGUAAUGCCUAGGAAAUUGCCUUGAUGUGGGGGAUAACCAUUGGAAACGAUGGCUAAUACCGCAUAAUGCCUACGGGCCAAAGAGGGGGACC
Molecule: ribosomal RNA, 217 nt
Filed under: Vibrio gigantis
Lineage: Bacteria; Pseudomonadati; Pseudomonadota; Gammaproteobacteria; Vibrionales; Vibrionaceae
Description: partial 16S ribosomal RNA
Rfam family: Bacterial small subunit ribosomal RNA
Source: RNAcentral